UUCCUGGUCAUUUGGGAGAGUAAAAGUCGUACAGGUUCCGUAGGUGAACCUGCGGAGGAUCAUUA
RNAcentral lists this ribosomal RNA (65 nucleotides) under uncultured Pachyphloeus. RNAcentral describes it as "partial 18S ribosomal RNA". Lineage: Eukaryota; Fungi; Ascomycota; Pezizomycetes; Pezizales; Pezizaceae. The record is from RNAcentral.